RNAcentral lists this ribosomal RNA (371 nucleotides) under uncultured bacterium. Its description in RNAcentral is "bacterial SSU rRNA". It matches the Rfam family "Bacterial small subunit ribosomal RNA", at positions 527 to 896 of the family's 1533-position model. The record is from RNAcentral.
GUAGGGGGCUAGCGUUGUCCGGAAUCAUUGGGCGUAAAGAGCGUGUAGGCGGCCCGGUAAGUCCGCUGUGAAAGUCGGGGGCUCAACCCUCGAAUGCCGGUGGAUACUGUCGGGCUAGAGUGCGGAAGAGGCGAGUGGAAUUCCUGGUGUAGCGGUGAAAUGCGCAGAUAUCAGGAGGAACACCGAUUGCGAAGGCAGCUCGCUGGGACGUCACUGACGCUGAGACGCGAAAGCGUGGGGAGCAAACAGGAUUAGAUACCCUGGUAGUCCACGCUGUAAACGAUGGGCACUAGGUGUGGGGGGUAUCGACUCCCUCCGUGCCGAAGCUAACGCAUUAAGUGCCCCGCCUGGGGAGUACGGCCGCAAGGCUA